This 4943-nucleotide long non-coding RNA is filed under the name Gallus gallus (chicken). Lineage: Eukaryota; Metazoa; Chordata; Aves; Galliformes; Phasianidae. The record is from RNAcentral.
UAGUUUAUGGUGGGGAAAAAAAAUUUACCUAUCACUGUUAGACAUUUUUAUUUCAUGACUAAUGUCUUCUCCUUUUAGAAAUAAUUUUAGGAGGAAAGAUAGAAAUUUUACUUUUACAUUGUAUUAUUUGUCUUCAUAGCAUACAUAAAACACAAGAGAAUGUGUCAGUGCAACGUGUGACAAUUGCCAUAGGCUUUGCUAGGCCUAUCCAACUGCAAUCUGCUUGAUGUCUUCAUCUCAUUGAUUAUUAUUUUUUAUCCUGAAUUUGCAUCUUGCAGUGGAAGUUCCUAAAUCUCAUGGAGAUAUGAGAUCCCUACAGUUUUUGUUAACUGCUGCUUAGAGAUUUGAAUUUUUCAACUCUAGAAACCUUCCAGUAGACUUCUGUGGCAAACCCAGUCCCCAGAGAUACUGUGCCUGCUCACGCAGACAACAGAUAAUCAGAAAAGUGGUAGAAAAAAUGCAUUCAAUACAAUAUUUACUUCUCCUUAAAAAUGGUACUUUUAUUUUUAUCCAUGUAAUAGAAUCUAAAUCUUUACUUGGAAAAAUGAAAGUAAGGUACGCAUAUUGAUAAACAGGGAUAUCAGGAAAAUGCUCCUGGAUAAAUUUAAGUAAAAGGACAUAUUAAAAAGAGCUUUCAGGUGUUGGAAGAUGGAACACAAGAGCUGUGAAGUCUUCCGAAUGGGUCAUUUCCAGUUCAUAUUCUAUAUAAUUAAAAAAAAAAAAAAAAAAAAAGAUGAAUCCCAAUGUAUCAGGGGUGAAAUUCCUCCUUUAUUUGAUGAUUCAUGUUAGCUGGUGUCAAACUCAGAUAUCAUGUUUAUUUUCCUACAAAUUAAGAGUGAAAACACUGCCUUACCUAACUAACAAAUUAGCACUACAUAAAAACUGAGUGAAGAAACACUGUAUAAAUUAGGGCUGGUGCUGUACCUGUUAGUAUGAUGUCAGCAUGCAUUUCAAAAUGUAUGAUAGGAUAGAUUUCUGCCUUCUGAACUUUUCAAAUGAAGAGAAAACUCAAAGCUAACAGGAGAGAUUAGAUCAUCCUCAGGAAUAUAAAUCUUUGUCAUAAAUCUUUGUCUCUAGAAAGGGAAAAAGAAAAUCAUCUGCAUGUAUUCAAGUCUGAUGCUGGCUACAAAGAAUAUGAAAUUUAUGUCAAUUAAGUUAAAAUUCGUGAACCAAAAUUUGCCUGAUACACACACUGGUUCAUUACAACUGUGCACAUAUAUCUACUCUGCUAAAGUGAUUCUCAUGUGAAUUACUCAUUGAAGUAAUAACACAGUGCCUCCAAAAAUAUGUUUGCAGAGUUUCUUAAGCUCCCAAAUUAGGGCAAUGUGUGCCUAAAUACAAUAGGCUUCUGUAACAGGACUUGGCCACUACAAAAGAAGGAACUGUCACUAACCUGGAACUUUUUUGUAAUUAAUGUAUUGUGGAAAAAUGCAAAACCUUAGGAAAUUCUUAACAAUUUUCUCCCAUCCAGAUGAAAUGUGAGGUUUUACAGAAAUGCAUUUCUGAGGCUCCCAGGAUGACAUGACAACAGAAAACACCAUCGUAAUUAUCUUUGCAACAUAAUGCAUUCUGAUUACCUAUGUACGGCAAUUACAUAAAAUAACAGAGCUGUUAUCAUGCUAUCACUGACUCACAGAACUCAUGUGAAUAAUUUAUGUAGGAUGCAGUAGAAAAAGGUCCUCUUUUUCUAAAAGGCAGAUCUAGAACAUUCCCAGAGAGUAAAAGAGGUAAGAGAGUAAAAGAGAAACAAAUAGGUUGGCUAUUCCUUCUUUCAGCUAACUUUGUGCAUACACAAAAUGGCUUUCAUCUUUUCCUGAGGGCCUACUGAACAUGUUCUUCUAUUUCUCUUUCAACAUAAGAUCAUGCAUGUAAAAAUGGUUCUGUUUGCUGGACUUUGUAGUUUUAUUAGAAAAGCACAAAAAACAGAAGAACAAAACAAAAAAACCCAGAAUAUUUAAAAUAGAUCCUAGAUUUUAUACGAAUUAGUUGAAUGUCUGAUCAUUCUCCCCUCCCUCAUUCCAGAAAGCCACUGGAACAAUUGAUUUUCUUCUUUUGAAAGUCUAGGCUAUCAUAUGGGUUUGUUUGGGUUUUUUUCAGUCCAUCAUUUCUUUCUUAUAGCUUAAGCUAUUUUUUCAUUCUAACAGAUCUAGAUCAAUAAACACUUUGAAGAUAAGGGCUGAGUUGUUGAGACGCUUAUCUGUAGGGAGCAGUGCUGAAUAACUGCAAUAACUAUUCCCACAGCUUUCAUUAUCUGAAUCCAGGUGCAUCCAGGUACAGGUGUUACAAGACAUUUCUGAAGACUAAUGUUUUUAAGCCACUGCCAACUGUAUUUCACAAAUGCCAUUAUUUAAAAGGCAAAAAGGUACAGUAUGUGCCUCUGCCCUUCAUUUCAGCACUGUAAGACAACCAGCCAGUAGUGUUAUUUGUUCUACACUUACAAUUGAAGGGCCCUAUCUUUCAAAUAAGAUCUGAAAUCCAGAUGAAAGCCCAAAGAAAUGAAAGACCUUCUAUUGAUUGGAAUGCAUUUUAGGUCAUUUCAGAUGUGCCUGAUAUUCUUUUGAUUUGAAAGAGGAAUAGCAUGUCCAGCAAUGCAUCAUAAAAAUUAUGUCCCAGGUUUACUAAAUGAUCAUAGGCUAAGUUAAAAUGAUGAGAGUUGCCAGAAUGUAUUAGAAAAGCUAGUGUAUUGAGAACGAGCAGUCUUGUCUUGCAAAUGUAAGUAUGUGUUUCUAAAUAUUAUAUCAAUUCUGAACAACAAAAGCUUUGUUAUUCACAUAUAUGCUGUCUUAGAUUUGGCUGAAUAUUCCUCUUUCUUUUUAAGAGUAAUUUCACUGAGAUGAGAACAUUUCAUAAGAACAUACCUAUUUUAAUUACCAUUUCCCUCAGGGAUGAUAACAUUAUUUUUUUAUUUUAAUUUCUUAUUGUGGUUUACUUAGUUCAUCUAACUUUUUUUUAUGCAUUAGCAUAUCUUCUUUCUAACACUUCCUGUUCUAUUAUUUCAGUAUUGUAAAACAUGAUUCUGGAUAUUUUGUUCAAAUUUAAUUCAGUGUAAAACUUUUAAUUUCGUCUUCUGAGUACUCAGUAUAGAAUUUAUAACUCCAGGAAUUGUGAAUCAUUUGUUAAAUCAAGGAAAUUAAAAUAGCUUAAUAAAGGAAAAGGAGAAAAAAUAUUUUGUGCUGUAAGCCUUUAAAAAUCGUAUUUUGAAGCAAACCCCAAAAUAAUGAACUGGAAAGUUUUUUUUCUUGUAAUUGAAGACUGUUUUUUAUAAAGUGACUGUUGGCAGUUGAUUUGAUUUUGACUUUUAGAGAACUAUCCUUUGUUUUUGCUCUGCUUCUGUCUUGCAGAUGAACAUGGGCCACUUAAUUAACAAUAUUAUUAUUAUUAUUGACAAAAUCGUCUAAUACUACCGACCUCUACAAUUAAAUUGUUUUAGCUAGAUUAAUGAAAACACCAUAUACGAACUUCUAAAAGUAUGAGGAGUUUUUUUUUUUUUACUAUUUUGUUAUUUAAUUCUUUAAUUUAGGUUUAAUACUAGUAACCUGAAAUCCUUAGCCAUCUCUUCAGUAACACCAAAGCUCACAGGAGCUGACAGAACUGGGUCCACACUGGAGUCACUGCUCAUCCGAGGCUGAACCUUCAGAGCUCAGCCCUGCUUUGUAAGGAUUUCACAGUCAAACAAUGUCAGCCACUAGUGUACUGGAAUUCCAUUUAUAAACAUUCUGUGCUGGCCCAGCAGUUUUAUUAUAUUAUGUUUAUUAUAUUAUAUUAUAUUAUAUUAUUACUGAUAAUCUGGGAAAGGAAAUAUCAGAGUGUGCAAAGAUUAUCUGGAUAGCAGUGAGAAGAAAAUGAUACAGUAUAGAUUAUCCAAUUCAGAUAUUUGAAGGUGCUUUCCAGGAUGGCUUUGACAUCAAGAAAUAUAUAAGAAAGCUGGGCAGCAGUGUAAUAAUUGCAAAAUUGGCUGGGAGAAACAAACAAAAAAAAAUGGGUGUGCUCUUUGUUUUGCAGAAAAUUGUUAGAAAAUAAAGCUUCCUUACUUAUUUACUGCAUAGUUCAUGUCAUUCUGCUUUGCAGUAAGACUGGCAUACCCAGAUUUGGUGCCACAGAUGGAUUUAACAAGUUAAAAAUGCAAGUUUUUGAAAAAUCAUGAGUGAAAUCUAGCUCAAACAAUCUCUCCUUCCCCACAACACAUUUAUAUGCAGUCAAAAUACAUUGUUUUCAGAGGGUUAGUAAUUGUUUCCAAAAUUAUUAUCUGAUUGUAAUCCCACAGGAGGCAGCAAAUUGUUGGUUGUUUUUAUACUAUUUUUAAAAAGCAAUCCUGGGAAUGACCAGGAACAAUUUUCCAUCAUUAGUCCUGUGGCUGCCUUGUGGAAAACCUCUACUGUCCACCUACACAUAUCUCAGCUUCCUACUGACAUCCCAGUGGCAUUCUCAAGUGCCAAAUUAGUGCUGUUGGGAGGCAGUGGGCAUUUUCAGAACUUUGAAACAAUUGGUAGAUGUUUUCUAGUCACUUUUUGCUUAUGGGGGAGUAUAGCAAGAUAGCAAAAACUUAUUGCAAGAACAUCCCACCAAGGACAAAAGCAACUGUUUGCAAUGCCUACCUGUCUGAAUUGCCUCUAAGGAAAAGUCCUUCCUACCACAGUUAGCACUUCUUAGUAAUUCAAUUUUCUUGUGCAAAAUGCUUCUUCACCCUCCCUAUUUCUUUAUUUUUCCAACACUGCUGAUCUUUAGAGAGCCUAAAAUGUUACAGCCCGUGACUGCAAGAGUAUUUUUCUGGCCCUGGAUGCAGUACUGCAACUGGAGCCUCUCGAGGGCAGAGUAGAGGGAGAUAAUCUUCUCCCCGUCCCUGCUGUCACCCUUCUUCUGAUGGAACCCAGGACACCAUUGGCCUUCUGGGCUGAAAGUGCAUGCUGCUGGCUCAUGUUAAGUUUUUCAUCAACCAAAAUCCC